AGAACGCAGCGAAAUGCGAUACGUAAUGUGAAUUGCAAAUUCAGUGAAUCAUCGAGUCUUUGAACGCACAUUGCGCCCCCUGGUAUUCCGGGGGGCAUGCCUGUCCGAGCGUCAUUGCUGCCCUCAAGCCCGGCUUGUGUGUUGGGCCCCGUCCUCCGAUUCCGGGGGACGGGCCCGAAAGGCAGCGGCGGCACCGCGUCCGGUCCUCGAGCGUAUGGGGCUUUGUCACCCGCUCUGUAGGCCCGGCCGGCGCUUGCCGAUCAACCCAAAUUUUUAUCCAGGUUGACCUCGGAUCAGGUAGGGAUACCCGCUGAACUUAAGCAUAUCAAUA
Molecule: ribosomal RNA, 331 nt
Filed under: Penicillium polonicum
Lineage: Eukaryota; Fungi; Ascomycota; Eurotiomycetes; Eurotiales; Aspergillaceae
Description: eukaryotic LSU rRNA
Rfam family: 5.8S ribosomal RNA (bases 1-114)
Source: RNAcentral